Molecule: long non-coding RNA, 608 nt
Filed under: Bos taurus (domestic cattle)
Lineage: Eukaryota; Metazoa; Chordata; Mammalia; Artiodactyla; Bovidae
Description: long non-coding RNA NONBTAT018620
Source: RNAcentral
GAAUGAAUGAGUGAAGGCCCCUAAGAAUACAAGUCAGCCAAUAACCAGACAAAAUUCGUCUCAUGUUUUUCUCAUUCAGUAUUAUUUAGGCUAUAUCUCCCCUUGAAACUAGUUAAAACCAAUAUUCUCCUAAGUAGUCUAGUGUGGUUUAUGCAUUGGAUUGACCUCAGAUGAUGUUCAGCUCUGAUAUUUAUAAAAUAUAUGAAGUUGGUUCCAAGUGUCACCAUCUUUUUAAGACUCAAUUUCAUUCGCUGAGAAGUAAAAAGUAAUAUCCAACUCUUUGGAUGAUUGGGAAAAUUAAAAUAAAUUAGACAUAUAAGAAAUUUCUCAGAGUAUUGGAUUCAAGUAAAUAUUCAAAAGACUUUACCUUCUUUUUCCAGUGAGCUAAUAAUGUACAGAUAGAUUCUGUUCUCUUUUUUUCCUUUUGAUUGGGAUAUGAUUGAGAUUGUUCUCAUUAAUUUCAAGUGACUUUUAUUUAAGAAUUAGACAAUGAAGUUAUUCUGUAAAACAUUAGUAAAAUUAAUUACUCUUCCUUCCUGUGAAUAAAAUCAAUGUGAAAAGAUGUAAUAAAUUUAUACCGAUGCAGGGUUUUGGGUUACAGUAAUUAG